GAUGCCAGGGUCAGAAAGUGAAAAGCCGUUCGUGCUCGCACGAAAAGGCUUUUAACCUUCAGACCCGCCCAAACAUGAGAAAGGAGCGAUUUGCAGGGCAAAUCAGCGGAGUUCGAAUGUUUGUAGAAUUGUGGGAGCAGCGAAGCUGCGGAGCAAUUCGAAGGCAU
RNAcentral lists this small RNA (167 nucleotides) under uncultured Lachnospira sp. Its description in RNAcentral is "Clostridiales-1 RNA". It matches the Rfam family "Clostridiales-1 RNA". The record is from RNAcentral. Lineage: Bacteria; Bacillati; Bacillota; Clostridia; Lachnospirales; Lachnospiraceae.